RNAcentral lists this ribosomal RNA (400 nucleotides) under uncultured bacterium. RNAcentral's name for it is "partial 16S ribosomal RNA". It matches the Rfam family "Archaeal small subunit ribosomal RNA", at positions 473 to 873 of the family's 1478-position model. The record is from RNAcentral.
AUACCAGCACCCCGAGUGGUCGGGACGAUUAUUGGGCCUAAAGCAUCCGUAGCCGGUUUUACAAGUCCUCCGUUAAAUCCAGCUGCUUAACAGAUGGGCUGCGGAGGAUACUAUAAGACUAGGAGGCAGGAGAGGCAAGCGGUACUCAGUGGGUAGGGGUAAAAUCCGUUGAUCCAUUGAAGACCACCAGUGGCGAAGGCGGCUUGCCAGAAUGCGCUCGACGGUGAGGGAUGAAAGCUGGGGGAGCAAACCGGAUUAGAUACCCGGGUAGUCCCAGCUGUAAACGAUGCAGACUCGGUGAUGGACUAGCUUUAUGCUAGUCCAGUGCCGCAGGGAAGCCGUUAAGUCUGCCGCCUGGGUAGUACGGUCGCAAGACUGAAACUUAAAUGAAUUGGCGGGG